UGGGGGAUAUUGCACAAUGGAGGAAACUCUGAUGCAGCGACGCCGCGUGAGGGAAGAAGGUCUUCGGAUUGUAAACCUCUGUCUUCGGGAACGAAUAAAUGACGAUACCCGGGGAGGAAGCCACGGCUAACUACGUGCCAGCAGCCGCGGUAAUACGUAGGUGGCGAGCGUUGUCCGGAAUUACUGGGUGUAAAGGGUGCGCAGGCGGGCCGACAAGUUGGAUGUGAAAUCGCCGGGCUCAACCCGGAACGCGCAUUCAAAACUGUUGGUCUUGAGUGAGGUAGAGGCUGGCGGAAUUCCCGGUGUAGCGGUGAAAUGCGUAGAGAACGGGAGGAACACCAGUGGCGAAGGCGGCCAGCUGGGCCUUUACUGACGCUGAGGCACGAAAGCAUGGGUAGCAAACA
Molecule: ribosomal RNA, 404 nt
Filed under: uncultured bacterium
Lineage: Bacteria
Description: bacterial SSU rRNA
Rfam family: Bacterial small subunit ribosomal RNA
Source: RNAcentral